RNAcentral lists this ribosomal RNA (253 nucleotides) under uncultured bacterium. RNAcentral's name for it is "partial 16S ribosomal RNA". It matches the Rfam family "Bacterial small subunit ribosomal RNA", at positions 524 to 776 of the family's 1533-position model. The record is from RNAcentral.
UACGUAGGGUGCUAGCGUUGUCCGGAAUUAUUGGGCGUAAAGAGCUCGUAGGCGGCUAGUCGCGUCGGCUGUGAAAACCUGGGGCUCAACCCCGGGCCUGCAGACGAUACGGGCUAGCUAGAAUUCGGUAGGGGAGACUGGAAUUCCUGGUGUAGCGGUGAAAUGCGCAGAUAUCAGGAGGAACACCGGUGGCGAAGGCGGGUCUCUGGGCCGAUAUUGACGCUGAGGAGCGAAAGCGUGGGGAGCGAACAGG